Halichondria panicea is the source of this 455-nucleotide long non-coding RNA. RefSeq lists it as uncharacterized. The transcript has 3 exons. NCBI's taxonomy places the organism in Eukaryota, Metazoa, Porifera, Demospongiae, Suberitida, Halichondriidae. The record is from RefSeq and is a predicted model, not a curated record.
GAUGACGUCAGUAGCUCAGCGUAUGAAUGCUAAUGGAGAGGCUCGUAAACGUGGUGGUGGUAUGACCCGAACCUUCUCCCCCCUCACUGCUAUCAUACAGCGCCUCUACAGCAAGUCAGAUGAGGCUGAUAGCAAGAGUGAGGAGCCAGAGACACACAGAAGACGCUAGGAGAUCGGCUCCGAAAGUCAAGUUCUCUAAAACUAUUACCGAGUUUCCAGACUACAGUCGCUAUGACAACCCAACAGAGAUCAAAUCAGUAUCAUGCAAGCCCAGGUCAAAGUCCGUCCCAUAGUCACCAUGGCAAGUUGGAUGGGGACUCGCUGAGGGUCAAAGGUGAAAGCUCGGAACACAUCAGAAAAAAAAAUUAUUAUUAGCAUAGCACAAACUGUUCAUUAUUUUUAUUGCUUAUACUCAAGAUUUGUAUGUUACUAAUGAUAGUGUCAUUUGCCAUAUG